RNAcentral lists this ribosomal RNA (1070 nucleotides) under uncultured Nitrosospira sp. RNAcentral's name for it is "bacterial SSU rRNA". It matches the Rfam family "Bacterial small subunit ribosomal RNA", at positions 159 to 1225 of the family's 1533-position model. Lineage: Bacteria; Pseudomonadati; Pseudomonadota; Betaproteobacteria; Nitrosomonadales; Nitrosomonadaceae. The record is from RNAcentral.
UGUGCUAAUACCGCAUAAUCUCUGAGGAGAAAAGCAGGGGAUCGCAAGACCUUGCGCUUUUGGAGCGGCCGAUGCCUGAUUAGCUUGUUGGUGAGGUAAAAGCUCACCAAGGCUUCGAUCAGUAGCUGGUCUGAGAGGACGACCAGCCACACUGGGACUGAGACACGGCCCAGACUCCUACGGGAGGCAGCAGUGGGGAAUUUUGGACAAUGGGGGCAACCCUGAUCCAGCCAUGCCGCGUGAGUGAAGAAGGCCUUCGGGUUGUAAAGCUCUUUCAGCCGGAACGAAACGGUCACGGUUAAUACCCGUGACUACUGACGGUACCGGAAGAAGAAGCAUCGGCUAACUACGUGCCAGCAGCCGCGGUAAUACGUAGGGUGCGAGCGUUAAUCGGAAUUACUGGGCGUAAAGCGUGCGCAGGUGGUUUUGUAAGUCAGAUGUGAAAUCCCCGGGCUUAACCUGGGAACUGCGUUUGAAACUGCAAGGCUAGAGUGUGGCAGAGGGGGGUGGAAUUCCGCGUGUAGCAGUGAAAUGCGUAGAGAUGUGGAGGAACACCGAUGGCGAAGGCAGCCCCCUGGGUCAACACUGACGCUCAGGCACGAAAGCAUGGGGAGCAAACAGGAUUAGAUACCCUGGUAGUCCAUGCCCUAAACGAUGUCAACUAGUUGUCGGGUCUUAACGGGCUUGGUAACGUAGCUAACGCGUGAAGUUGACCGCCUGGGGAGUACGAUCGCAAGAUUAAAACUCAAAGGAAUUGACGGGGACCCGCACAAGCGGUGGAUUAUGUGGAUUAAUUCGAUGCAACGCGAAAAACCUUACCUACCCUUGACAUGUAUUGAAACCCGCAGAGAUGUGGGUGUGCCCGAAAGGGAACGAUAACACAGGUGCUGCAUGGCUGUCGUCAGCUCGUGUCGUGAGAUGUUGGGUUAAGUCCCGCAACGAGCGCAACCCUUGUCAUUAAUUGCCAUCAUUUAGUUGGGUACUUUAAUGAGACUGCCGGUGACAAACCGGAGGAAGGUGGGGAUGACGUCAAGUCCUCAUGGCCCUUAUGGGUAGGGCUUCACACGUAA